UAGGGAAUCUUCCGCAAUGGACGCAAGUCUGACGGAGCAACGCCGCGUGAGUGAAGAAGGAUUUCGGUUCGUAAAACUCUGUUGUUAGAGAAGAACAGCGCAUAGAGUAACUGUUAUGCGUGUGACGGUAUCUAACCAGAAAGCCACGGCUAACUACGUGCCAGCAGCCGCGGUAAUACGUAGGUGGCAAGCGUUGUCCGGAUUUAUUGGGCGUAAAGCGAGCGCAGGCGGUCAAUUAAGUCUGAUGUGAAAGCCCCCGGCUCAACCGGGGAGGGUCAUUGGAAACUGGUUGACUUGAGUGCAGAAGAGGAGAGUGGAAUUCCAUGUGUAGCGGUGAAAUGCGUAGAUAUAUGGAGGAACACCGGUGGCGAAAGCGGCUCUCUGGUCUGUAACUGACGCUGAGGCUCGAAAGCGUGGGGAGCGAACAGG
RNAcentral lists this ribosomal RNA (429 nucleotides) under Bacteroidota bacterium. RNAcentral's name for it is "Bacteroidetes bacterium partial 16S ribosomal RNA". It matches the Rfam family "Bacterial small subunit ribosomal RNA", at positions 355 to 776 of the family's 1533-position model. The record is from RNAcentral. Lineage: Bacteria; Pseudomonadati; Bacteroidota.